UGGGGAAUAUUGCACAAUGGGCGCAAGCCUGAUGCAGCAACGCCGCGUGAGGGACGACGGCCUUCGGGUUGUAAACCUCUUUUAGUAGGGAAGAAGCGAAAGUGACGGUACCCGCAGAAAAACGCACCGGCUAACUACGUGCCAGCAGCCGCGGUAAUACGUAGGGUGCGAGCGUUGUCCGGAAUUAUUGGGCGUAAAGAGCUCGUAGGCGGUCUGUCGCGUCUGCUGUGAAAACCCGAGGCUCAACCUCGGGCCUGCAGUGGGUACGGGCAGACUAGAGUGCGGUAGGGGAGAAUGGAAUUCCUGGUGUAGCGGUGGAAUGCGCAGAUAUCAGGAGGAACACCGAUGGCGAAGGCAGUUCUCUGGGCCGUAACUGACGCUGAGGAGCGAAAGCGUGGGGAGCGAACAGGAUUAGAUACCCUGGUAGUCCACGCCGUAAACGUUGGGCGCUAGAUGUGGGGCACCAUUCCACGGUUUCCGUGCCGCAGCUAACGCAUU
RNAcentral lists this ribosomal RNA (498 nucleotides) under uncultured bacterium. RNAcentral's name for it is "partial 16S ribosomal RNA". It matches the Rfam family "Bacterial small subunit ribosomal RNA", at positions 355 to 861 of the family's 1533-position model. The record is from RNAcentral.